Long non-coding RNA from Manihot esculenta (cassava), 283 nucleotides. RefSeq lists it as uncharacterized. Lineage: Eukaryota; Viridiplantae; Streptophyta; Magnoliopsida; Malpighiales; Euphorbiaceae. The transcript has 2 exons. The record is from RefSeq and is a predicted model, not a curated record.
CGUAGGCGAAUGAAAGCAGCCUGCUCUUCCUGGGUUCUCAAAGUCAUCAAGUGUAAACGCAAUAAUUUGAAGGUGAUGAAGAUGGGAGACGGAAGUAUAAAUAAAGAUGGAAGAAAUUAGCCGCCCUCUUGUUCUAAAUACAUCUGAUUGAGAUUUCGGGUAUGCGUUUCUUGCAUACAGUAAAAAACCAGAUGAAUAUAUCAUGAGAGUAGUGCAGUUGACUCUACUGCUGUUGUUAUUAUCCCUUUGUUUUCCUUUGUAGUGCUUUGUUUUAUUGAUCUAC